Molecule: long non-coding RNA, 307 nt
Organism: Brassica oleracea var. oleracea
Lineage: Eukaryota; Viridiplantae; Streptophyta; Magnoliopsida; Brassicales; Brassicaceae
Exons: 2
Source: RefSeq, a predicted model, not a curated record
CAAUUAACAAUUAGAUGAGUGGAUACAACAGAAAUAUUUCAUAAGAAAAAGAAAAAAAAAAGAAAAGAGAAUAAUUAAGAAGAAAGAUAAACAUGGCGAGAAAAAUAAACAUGGCGAAACGUGGAAAUGUCGUCGCUUUCAUCUCUCUUUUGAUGAUUUUCUUGUUGGUUUUGACAGGGGAAGCUCAGGAGAAAACUAAGUAUACUAAAGCCAAGAGUGCGCCAACUGAAGUCUGUUUGGAUCGUAAUUCUGGUGAUGCUGUAUGCACUCAGUAUUGCGUUGCAGAAACAAAUCCGAAAAGAUGUUC